GACGAACGCUGGCGGCGUGCCUAACACAUGCAAGUCGAACGGGCCUUGUCCCCUUUUUUUUGGGGGUGGGGUUAGUGGCGAACGGGUGAGUAACACGUGAGUAACCUGCCCCUCACUUCUGGAUAACCGCUUGAAAGGGUGGCUAAUACGGGGUGUUCUGGCCUGCUCGCAUGGGUGGGUUUGGAAAGAUUCGACCGGUUUUGGUUGUUUUGGUGGGGGAUGGGCUCGCGGCCUAUCAGCUUGUUGGUGGGGUGAUGGCCUGCCAAGGCUUUGACGGGUAGCCGGCCUGAGAGGGUGGGCGGUCACACUGGGACUGAGACACGGCCCAGACUCCUACGGGAGGCAGCAGUGGGGAAUAUUGCACAAUGGGCGCAAGCCUGAUGCAGCGACGCCGCGUGAGGGAUGGAGGCCUUCGGGUUGUGAACCUCUUUCGCCAGUGAAGAAGGUCCUGCUCUUUGUGGUGGGGUUGACGGUAGCUGGGUUAAUGAAGCGCCGGCUAACUACGUG
RNAcentral lists this ribosomal RNA (507 nucleotides) under uncultured bacterium. Its description in RNAcentral is "partial 16S ribosomal RNA". It matches the Rfam family "Bacterial small subunit ribosomal RNA", at positions 28 to 507 of the family's 1533-position model. The record is from RNAcentral.